UACCAGCACCCCGAGUGGUCGGGACGAUUAUUGGGCCUAAAGCAUCCGUAGCCGGCCUUACAAGUCCUCCGUUAAAUCCAGCUGCUUAACAGAUGGGCUGCGGAGGAUACUAUAAGACUAGGAGGCAGGAGAGGCAAGCGGUACUCAGUGGGUAGGGGUAAAAUGCGUAGAUAUCGGAAGGAACAUCAGUGGCGAAAGCGACUUCCUGGACCAAUACUGACGCUCAUGUGCGAAAGCGUGGGGAGCAAACAGG
RNAcentral lists this ribosomal RNA (253 nucleotides) under uncultured bacterium. RNAcentral's name for it is "partial 16S ribosomal RNA". The stretch from base 27 to 253 matches the Rfam family "Bacterial small subunit ribosomal RNA", at positions 550 to 776 of the family's 1533-position model. The record is from RNAcentral.